CUGCCACCGAAUACAUUAGCAUGGGAUAAUGGAAUAGGACCCUGUCCUCCUAUUUUCAGUUGGUUUUGGCAGCGCGAGGACUAGGGUAAUGAUUAAUAGGGAUAGUUGGGGGCAUUAAUAUUUAAUUGUCAGAGGUGAAAUUCUUGGAUUUAUGAAAGAUUAACUUCUGCGAAAGCAUCUGCCAAGGAUGUUUUCAUUAAUCAAGAACGAAAGUUAGGGGAUCGAAGACGAUCAGAUACCGUCGUAGUCUUAACCAUAAACGAUGCCGACCAGCGAUUAGGAGACGUUGAAUACAAAACACCACCAUCGGUGCGGUCGUCCUUGGCGUCGGUCUUUCGGGGCCGGCGCGGGGGCGGCUUAGCCCGGUGGCACCGGUGAAUGACUCCCCUAGCAGCUUGUGAGAAAUCAUAAGUCU
This 415-nucleotide ribosomal RNA is filed under the name Acanthamoeba polyphaga. RNAcentral describes it as "SSU rRNA". It matches the Rfam family "Eukaryotic small subunit ribosomal RNA", at positions 789 to 1106 of the family's 1831-position model. The record is from RNAcentral. Lineage: Eukaryota; Discosea; Longamoebia; Acanthamoebidae.